CUCAGCUGGUUCAGAGCAUCUGCCUUACAAGCAGAGGGUCGGCGGUUCGAAUCCGUCAACGCCCACAA
Molecule: transfer RNA, 68 nt
Filed under: Bacteroides fragilis str. 3986T(B)10
Lineage: Bacteria; Pseudomonadati; Bacteroidota; Bacteroidia; Bacteroidales; Bacteroidaceae
Description: partial tRNA-Val
Rfam family: tRNA
About the family: Transfer RNA (tRNA) molecules are approximately 80 nucleotides in length. Their secondary structure includes four short double-helical elements and three loops (D, anti-codon, and T loops).
Source: RNAcentral